UUAAGUGAACAAGGGCAUACGGCGGAUGCCUUGGCGCCAAGAGCCGAUGAAGGACGCGGUAAGCUGCGAAAAGGCAUGGGUAGGAGCAAGCAUCCUGUGAUCCAUGCAUAUCCGAAUGGGGCAACCCACCAUCAGUCAUGUGAUGGUACGAAAGAGGCAGACCUGGGGAACUGAAACAUCUAAGUACCCAGAGGAAAAGUAAUCAAUUGAGAUUCCCUAAGUAGCGGCGAGCGAAAGGGGAAGAGCCCAAACCAGAUAACUUCGGUUGUCUGGGGUUGAGGACCGGCAAAAAGAGGAAACUUCUUAGUCGAAUGGUUUGGAAAGGCCAUGCACAGAAGGUAAAACACCUGUAGGCGAAAAGAAGUCAAUCGGGCUGGUAUCCAGAGUACUGCGAGACACGUGAAACCUUGCAGGAAGCAGGGGGGACCACCCUCCAAGGCAAAAUACUACUUGGCGACCGAUAGCGCAUAGUACCGUGAGGGAAAGGUGAAAAGAACCCCGGGAGGGGAGUGAAAUAGAACCUGAAACCGUAUGUCUACAAGCAGUCGAAGCACCUUAAGAGUGCGACGGCGUGCCUAUUGAAGAAUGAACCGGCGAGUUACAUUAUGUUGCGAGGUUAAGUGGGAGACACGGAGCCGAAGCGAAAGCGAGUCUUAAUAGGGCGACUAGUAACAUGGUGUAGACCCGAAACCGCAGUGAUCUAUCCAUGGUCAGGUUGAAGCGCAGGUAAAAAUGCGUGGAGGACCGAACCCGUGAGUGUUGAAAAACUUUGGGAUGAACCGUGGAUAGGGGUGAAAUGCCAAUCGAACGCGGAGAUAGCUGGUACUCCCCGAAAUAGCUUUAGGGCUAGCCUCAGGGAAGAUUAUAGACGGUAGAGCACUGAUCUGGCAAGGGGGCGUAAAGCCUACCGACCCUAGUCAAACUUCGAAUGGCUAUAAUUAAGACCCUGGGAGUCAGACUGCGAGUGAUAAGACCCGUAGUCAAGAGGGAAACAGCCCAGACCGCCGACUAAGGUCCCCAAUGCUGUACUAAGUGGAAAAGGAUGUAAGACUUCAUAAACAACCAGGAUGUUGGCUUAGAAGCAGCCACCAUUAAAAGAGUGCGUAAUAGCUCACUGGUCGAGAGGCCUUGCGCCGAAGAUGUCCGGGGCUCAAGUACAGAACCGAAGUCGCGGCAGGAUUAUAUAAUUCUGGGUAGGGGAGCGUUGUAUAUCCGACUGAAGGUGUACCGGAAGGAGCGCUGGAGGAUAUACAAGAGAGAAUGCCGGUAUGAGUAGCGAAAAGAACAGUGAGAAUCUGUUCCACCGAAAGCCUAAGGUUUCCUGAGCAACGCUCGUCGACUCAGGGUAAGUCGGGACCUAAGCCGAGGCAAAAAGCAUAGGCGAUGGACAACAGGUUAAUAUUCCUGUACCGCUUCAAAUCGUUUGAGCAAUGGAGUGACACAGAAGGUAGCUUGAGCACGCGAAUGGAUGUGCGUGUCGAAGGUGGUAGGUUGCAGUAUAGGCAAAUCCGUACUGUAUAAGACCGAGAACUGAUAGAUAGACGAUACUUUGGUAAAGUCAAAUUCAAGUGAGCCAUGCUGUCGAGAAAAGCUUCUAGUGAGAGAUGAGGCGCCCGUACCGAAACCGACACAGGUAGGCGGGGAGAGAAUCCUAAGGUGCGCGGGACAACCCUCGUUAAGGAACUCGGCAAAUUGUAUCCGUAACUUAGGGAUAAGGAUAGCCGGAGGAUGUGAAGGGAUUUACUUCUGGAGCGUCAGCCGGUGGCACAAGAGAGGCCCAAGCGACUGUUUAGCACAAACACAGGUGCCUGCAAAAGAGAAAUCUGACGUAUAGGUGCUGACACCUGCCCGGUGCUGGAAGGUUAAGAGGAGGGCUUAGAGGCAACUCGAAGGCUUGAAUUGAAGCCCCAGUAAACGGCGGCCGUAACUAUAACGGUCCUAAGGUAGCGAAAUUCCUUGUCGGGUAAGUUC
This 1971-nucleotide ribosomal RNA is filed under the name human gut metagenome. RNAcentral describes it as "bacterial LSU rRNA". It matches the Rfam family "Bacterial large subunit ribosomal RNA", at positions 1 to 1983 of the family's 2925-position model. The record is from RNAcentral.